AAGCUUGCUUUUGAAGAUGACGAGCGGCGGACGGGUGAGUAAUGCCUGGGAAUAUGCCUUGAUGUGGGGGAUAACCAUUGGAAACGAUGGCUAAUACCGCAUAAUGCCUACGGGCCAAAGAGGGGGAUCUUCGGACCUCUCGCGUCAAGAUUAGCCCAGGUGGGAUUAGCUAGUUGGUGAGGUAAUGGCUCACCAAGGCGACGAUCCCUAGCUGGUCUGAGAGGAUGAUCAGCCACACUGGAACUGAGACACGGUCCAGACUCCUACGGGAGGCAGCAGUGGGGAAUAUUGCACAAUGGGCGCAAGCCUGAUGCAGCCAUGCCGCGUGUGUGAAGAAGGCCUUCGGGUUGUAAAGCACUUUCAGUCGUGAGGAAGGUAGUUGCGUUAAUAGCGUAAUUAUUUGACGUUAGCGACAGAAGAAGCACCGGCUAACUCCGUGCCAGCAGCCGCGGUAAUACGGAGGGUGCGAGCGUUAAUCGGAAUUACUGGGCGUAAAGCGCAUGCAGGUGGUUUGUUAAGUCAGAUGUGAAAGCCCGGGGCUCAACCUCGGAAUUGCAUUUGAAACUGGCAGACUAGAGUACUGUAGAGGGGGGUAGAAUUUCAGGUGUAGCGGUGAAAUGCGUAGAGAUCUGAAGGAAUACCGGUGGCGAAGGCGGCCCCCUGGACAGAUACUGACACUCAGAUGCGAAAGCGUGGGGAGCAAACAGGAUUAGAUACCCUGGUAGUCCACGCCGUAAACGAUGUCUACUUGGAGGUUGUGGCCUUGAGCCGUGGCUUUCGGAGCUAACGCGUUAAGUAGACCGCCUGGGGAGUACGGUCGCAAGAUUAAAACUCAAAUGAAUUGACGGGGGCCCGCACAAGCGGUGGAGCAUGUGGUUUAAUUCGAUGCAACGCGAAGAACCUUACCUACUCUUGACAUCCAGAGAAGCCAGCGGAGACGCAGGUGUGCCUUCGGGAACUCUGAGACAGGUGCUGCAUGGCUGUCGUCAGCUCGUGUUGUGAAAUGUUGGGUUAAGUCCCGCAACGAGCGCAACCCUUAUCCUUGUUUGCCAGCGAGUAAUGUCGGGAACUCCAGGGAGACUGCCGGUGAUAAACCGGAGGAAGGUGGGGACGACGUCAAGUCAUCAUGGCCCUUACGAGUAGGGCUACACACGUGCUACAAUGGCGCAUACAGAGGGCUGCCAACCAGCGAUGGUGAGCGAAUCCCAAAAAGUGCGUCGUAGUCCGGAUUGGAGUCUGCAACUCGACUCCAUGAAGUCGGAAUCGCUAGUAAUCGUGGAUCAGAAUGCCACGGUGAAUACGUUCCCGGGCCUUGUACACACCGCCCGUCACACCAUGGGAGUGGGCUGCAAAAGAAGUGGGUAGUUAACCUUCGAGG
RNAcentral lists this ribosomal RNA (1378 nucleotides) under Vibrio sp. HGLP-30. Its description in RNAcentral is "bacterial SSU rRNA". It matches the Rfam family "Bacterial small subunit ribosomal RNA", at positions 76 to 1446 of the family's 1533-position model. RNAcentral also lists the same sequence under 1 other name. The record is from RNAcentral. Lineage: Bacteria; Pseudomonadati; Pseudomonadota; Gammaproteobacteria; Vibrionales; Vibrionaceae.